This 316-nucleotide ribosomal RNA is filed under the name uncultured Pseudomonadota bacterium. Its description in RNAcentral is "bacterial SSU rRNA". It matches the Rfam family "Bacterial small subunit ribosomal RNA", at positions 30 to 351 of the family's 1533-position model. Lineage: Bacteria; Pseudomonadati; Pseudomonadota. The record is from RNAcentral.
AUUGAACGCUGGCGGUAUGCUUAACACAUGCAAGUCGAACGGUAACAGGCCUUCGGGCGCUGACGAGUGGCGGACGGGUGAGUAACGCGUAGGAAUCUGCCUCAUAGUGGGGGACAACGUGGGGAAACUCACGCUAAUACCGCAUACGCCCUACGGGGAAAGCGGGGACCUUCGGCCUCGCGCUAUGAGAUGAGCCUGCGUUAGAUUAGCUAGUUGGUAGGGUAAAGGCCUACCAAGGCGACGAUCAGUAGCGGGUCUGAGAGGAUGAUCCGCCACACUGGAACUGAGACACGGUCCAGACUCCUACGGGAGGCAG